This 231-nucleotide ribosomal RNA is filed under the name uncultured bacterium. Its description in RNAcentral is "partial 16S ribosomal RNA". It matches the Rfam family "Bacterial small subunit ribosomal RNA", at positions 99 to 334 of the family's 1533-position model. The record is from RNAcentral.
CGGACGGGUGAGUAAUGUCUGGGAAACUGCCUGAUGGAGGGGGGUAACUACUGGAAACGGUAGCUAAUACCGCAUAACGUCGCAAGACCAAAGAGGGGACCUUCGGGCCUCUUGCCAUCGGAUGUGCCCAGAUGGGAUUAGCUAGUAGGUGGGGUAACGGCUCACCUAGGCGACGAUCCCUAGCUGGUCUGAGAGGAUGACCAGCCACACUGGAACUGAGACACGGUCCAG